GAUGAACGCUGGCGGCGUGCCUAAUACAUGCAAGUCGAGCGAACAGACGAGGAGCUUGCUCCUCUGACGUUAGCGGCGGACGGGUGAGUAACACGUGGAUAACCUACCUAUAAGACUGGGAUAACUUCGGGAAACCGGAGCUAAUACCGGAUAAUAUAUUGAACCGCAUGGUUCAAUAGUGAAAGACGGUUUUGCUGUCACUUAUAGAUGGAUCCGCGCCGCAUUAGCUAGUUGGUAAGGUAACGGCUUACCAAGGCAACGAUGCGUAGCCGACCUGAGAGGGUGAUCGGCCACACUGGAACUGAGACGCGGUCCAGACUCCUACGGGAGGCAGCAGUAGGGAAUCUUCCGCAAUGGGCGAAAGCCUGACGGAGCAACGCCGCGUGAGUGAUGAAGGUCUUCGGAUCGUAAAACUCUGUUAUUAGUGAAGAACAAAUGUGUAAGCAACUAUGCACGUCUUGACGGUACCUAAUCAGAAAGCCACGGCUAACUACGUG
This 497-nucleotide ribosomal RNA is filed under the name uncultured bacterium. Its description in RNAcentral is "partial 16S ribosomal RNA". It matches the Rfam family "Bacterial small subunit ribosomal RNA", at positions 28 to 507 of the family's 1533-position model. The record is from RNAcentral.